CUCACACACAGCUGUCUCACACACACCUGUCUCACACACAGCUGUCUCACACACACCUAUCUCACACACACCUGUCUCACACACAGCUCUCACACACACCUGUCUCACACAGCUAUCUCACACACAGCUAUCUCACACGCACCUAUCUCACACACACCUGUCUCACACACACCUAUCUCACACACAGCUAUCUCACACACAGCUCUCACACACACCUGUCUCACACACAGCUAUCUCACACACACACCUCUCACACACACCUGUCUCACACACAGCUCUCACACACACAGCUGUCUCACACACAGCUAUCUCACACACACCUGUCUCACACACACCUGUCUCACACACACCUGUCUUACACACAGCUAUCUCACACACACCUCUCUCACACACACCUGUCUUACACACAGCUAUCUCACACACACCUGUCUUACACACAGCUAUCUCACACACACCUGUCUUACACACAGCUCUCACACACACCUGUCUUACACACAGCUAUCUCACACACACCUGUCUUACACACAGCUAUCUCACAAACACCUGUCUUACACACAGCUCACACACACCUGUCUCUCACACACACCUGUCUCUCACACACACCUGUCUCUCACACACACCUGUCUCACACACACCUGUCUCACACACACCUGCGGACUGUAGGGCCUGAGUUAGAGCAUGGACCAGAAGAAGCUCAUAAAAAUAUAAUUCUUAAUAAAGUAGGGCUGAGGGGGACGCAACUAAAGGGUUAAAUAAGAUUCUCUCUCUUAGCUUCCUCUAUAUAGUAACCUGAAGGUAGUGGACAGGACAGCAGCUUCCUCUAUAUAGUAACCUGAAGGUAGUGGACAGGACAGCAGCUUCCUCUAUAUAGUAUCCUGAAGACAGUGGACAGGACAGCAGCUUCCUCUAUAUAGUAACCUGAAGGUAGUGGACAGGACAGCAGCUUCCUCUAUAUAGUAACCUGAAGGUAGUGGACAGGAGAGCAACUUCCUCUAUAUAGUAACCGGAAGGUAGUGGACAGGACAGGAGCUUCAUCUAUAUAGUAACCUGAAGGUAGUGGACAGGACAGGAGCUUCCUCUAUAUAGUAACCUGAAGGUAGUGGACAGGACAGGAGCUUCCUCUAUAUAGUAACCUGAAGGUAGUGGACAGGACUGCAGCUUCCUCUAUAUAGUAACCUGAAGGCAGUGGACAGGUGAAACUAACAGCUUCCUGUCUAUAGUAACCUGAAGGCAGUGGACAGGUGAAACUAACUGCUCCCUGUAUAUAGUAACCUGAAGGCAGAGGACAGGUGAAACUAACAGCUUCCUGUCUAUAGUUACCUGAAGGCAGAGGACAGGUGAAACUAACAGCUUCCUGUCUAUAGUUACCUGAAGGCAGAGGACAGGUGAAACUAACAGCUUCCUGUCUAUAGUUA
Oncorhynchus tshawytscha (Chinook salmon) is the source of this 1415-nucleotide long non-coding RNA. NCBI's taxonomy places the organism in Eukaryota, Metazoa, Chordata, Actinopteri, Salmoniformes, Salmonidae. The record is from Ensembl.